This 455-nucleotide ribosomal RNA is filed under the name uncultured bacterium. RNAcentral describes it as "bacterial SSU rRNA". It matches the Rfam family "Bacterial small subunit ribosomal RNA", at positions 340 to 786 of the family's 1533-position model. The record is from RNAcentral.
UACGGAAGGCAGCAGUGGGGAAUAUUGCACAAUGGGCGCAAGCCUGAUGCAGCCAUGCCGCGUGUAUGAAGAAGGCCUUCGGGUUGUAAAGUACUUUCAGUCGUGAGGAAGGUGUUAAGGUUAAUAACCUUAGCAAUUGACGUUAGCGACAGAAGAAGCACCGGCUAACUCCGUGCCAGCAGCCGCGGUAAUACGGAGGGUGCGAGCGUUAAUCGGAAUUACUGGGCGUAAAGGGCACGCAGGCGGUUAAUUAAGUUGGAUGUGAAAUCCCCGGGCUUAACCUGGGAAUGGCAUUCAAGACUGGUUAGCUAGAGUCUUGUAGAGGGGGUUAGAAUUCCAUGUGUAGCGGUGAAAUGCGUAGAGAUGUGGAGGAAUACCGGUGGCGAAGGCGGCCCCUGGACAAAGACUGACGCUCAUGUGCGAAAGCGUGGGGAGCGAAACAGGGAUUAGAUACC